This 372-nucleotide ribosomal RNA is filed under the name uncultured organism. RNAcentral describes it as "bacterial SSU rRNA". It matches the Rfam family "Bacterial small subunit ribosomal RNA", at positions 526 to 896 of the family's 1533-position model. The record is from RNAcentral.
CAGAGGGUGCAAACGUUGCUCGGAAUCACUGGGCGUAAAGGGCGUGUAGGCGGAUAGAUAAGUCGGGCGUGAAAUCCCCAGGCUCAACCUGGGAACUGCACUCGAAACUGUUUAUCUUGAGUGCCGGAGAGGAAAGCGGAAUUCCUGGUGUAGAGGUGAAAUUCGUAGAUAUCAGGAGGAACACCAGUGGCGAAGGCGGCUUUCUGGACGGUAACUGACGCUGAGACGCGAAAGCGUGGGGAGCAAACAGGAUUAGAUACCCUGGUAGUCCACGCCGUAAACGAUGAGUGCUAGGUGUCGUGGGUAUUGACCCCCGCGGUGCCGAAGCUAACGCAUUAAGCACUCCGCCUGGGAAGUACGGUCGCAAGACUA